This 269-nucleotide ribosomal RNA is filed under the name uncultured prokaryote. Its description in RNAcentral is "partial 16S ribosomal RNA". It matches the Rfam family "Bacterial small subunit ribosomal RNA", at positions 524 to 792 of the family's 1533-position model. The record is from RNAcentral.
UACGGAGGAUCCGAGCGUUAUCCGGAUUUAUUGGGUUUAAAGGGUGCGCAGGCGGGAGAUUAAGUCGGCGGUGAAAUUUUGCAGCUCAACUGUAAAAGUGCCUUCGAAACUGGUUUCCUUGAGUGUAGAUGAAGUAGGCGGAAUUUGUGGUGUAUCGGUGAAAUGCAUAGAUAUCACGAGGAACUCCGAUUGCGCAGGCAGCUUACUAAACUACUACUGACGCUCAGGCACGAAGGCGUGGGGAUCAAACAGGAUUAGAUACCCGUGUA